UGGAGACACCUCUUCUGUAGAGUCUUUUCUGCAAACCUAGAUCUUUGUAUACAGGAUCACCAGAAUGUGAUCUGGAUUUUGUGACUGGAGUUUGCAGAAGAGUUUUCAGAAACUCAAUAACAAGAGCUACAAGCUACAAACUGAAUCUUAGAGGAGUUCAACGUGAAGACGAGGAUAUGCUACACUAUGGAAGCAUUAGCAGAAAGCUAUCUAGAAUGCCUGGACUUACCCCCAGUCCCACUUUACCAUAGGAACCUGAGCAUACAGCAGCUCCUCUCCACUGUGCGUGCACAGGCUGAGAAGUCUCUUCAGGAAUCUCUCCACUGGAUUUGGCCAACCCGUGUCCCUUAGUUUUUCACUGAAGCAGACUUAAGGCUAGACACUUAAUAGAUACAUCUGUUAUUUGGAAUUCAGAUGUUUGCAGAUAUAGGAGUGGGAUUUACAGCUGCAAAAGAGAGCAAGUUUUAAAAGACACCUAAACCACCUUUUGUGGAUCCUGCCGUUUAUGAACACCCAAACGCAUACCUACUCACUUGGACAAAGGCAACAUAUCCAAAAGCAAAUUGAAUGGAUUGCACUGCCUGCUUUUAGGAAAAGAAUGCAUUUAUUCUUCAUACAAAAUUGAAAUUUUCUCUCUGUUUAGUUAUGAAACAUCAAUUUAAACUUUAUAACAUAUUCACAUAUUUACAUAAGCAGCUUCAGACCUCUCUUGUUUGAAUAAAUGUUCACCUUUGCUGACAUGACAAGACAGUGGGCUGCAAUACAGGCCAGAGGAGCUAUAUUUAAAUUCCUGGGGUGGGGAGGAAGUGCAAUCGAUGAAUCACUUGGAAAC
Non-coding RNA from Coturnix japonica (Japanese quail), 832 nucleotides. NCBI's taxonomy places the organism in Eukaryota, Metazoa, Chordata, Aves, Galliformes, Phasianidae. The record is from RefSeq and is a predicted model, not a curated record.